GCCCAGCUAGCCCAGUUGGUAGAACAUGGGACUCUUGAUGUCAGGAUCAUGGGUUUGAGCCCCACGCUUGUUG
Non-coding RNA from Pangasianodon gigas (Mekong giant catfish), 73 nucleotides. The record is from the annotation of a GenBank genome assembly. NCBI's taxonomy places the organism in Eukaryota, Metazoa, Chordata, Actinopteri, Siluriformes, Pangasiidae.